CCUACGGGUGGCAGCAGUCGAGAAUCAUUCACAAUGGGGGAAACCCUGAUGGUGCGACGCCGCGUGGGGGAAUGAAGGUCUUCGGAUUGUAAACCCCUGUCAUGUGGGAGCAAAUUAAAAAGAUAGUACCACAAGAGGAAGAGACGGCUAACUCUGUGCCAGCAGCCGCGGUAAUACAGAGGUCUCAAGUGUUGUUCGGAAUCACUGGGCGUAAAGCGUGCGUAGGCGGUUUCGUAAGUCGUGUGUGAACGGCGCGGGCGCAACCCGCGGACGGCACAUGAUACUGCGAGACUAGAGUAAUGGGGGGGGAACCGGAAUGCUCGGGGUAGGAGUGAAAUGCGUAGAUAUAGAGGGGAACACUCGUGGCGAAGGCGGGUUCCUGGACAUUAACUGAAGCUGAGGCACGAAGGCCAGGGGAGCGAAAGGGAUUAGAUACCCGAGUAGUC
Molecule: ribosomal RNA, 446 nt
Filed under: uncultured bacterium
Lineage: Bacteria
Description: partial 16S ribosomal RNA
Rfam family: Bacterial small subunit ribosomal RNA
Source: RNAcentral